Populus euphratica (Euphrates poplar) is the source of this 402-nucleotide long non-coding RNA. RefSeq lists it as uncharacterized. Lineage: Eukaryota; Viridiplantae; Streptophyta; Magnoliopsida; Malpighiales; Salicaceae. The record is from RefSeq and is a predicted model, not a curated record. The transcript has 2 exons.
AUGUUACCUCUGUCUUGAUCUUAUAGAGUUUGUCACUCAUUUUAAGUUCUAUGCUUCAGUAAAACACUAGUGUAGAGUGAUGCAUGCUUUUUUCAUAAGUAAUUAAGUUUUAUUUCAUGUUUCAACCAUAGAAUAGAAUAGGGAGGAAAACGAGAAAAGAAGGUAAUCAAAUUUUAUUUCAUGUUUCAACCAUAGUGUAGGGAGAGUGUGAGGGGAACCAAAAAAUAGUUGUUAGUUGAAGCACAUAACCCACAAGAUGUUUCAAUUUAUAAGCACAUCACCCACGAAAUAGUUUUAUGCUUUUAUCCAUUCAGUUUGAAAAUAUAAGUUCAUGCUCAUAAUUACAUGGCUAAAGGCAGCAUUAUAGCAGUUGACAACAAAUGAUCUAUAUCCUCUACAGCA